GAUGAACGCUAGCUACAGGCUUAACACAUGCAAGUCGAGGGGUAACAAGAGGAAAGCUUGCUUUCCUUGUUGACGACCGGCGCACGGGUGAGUAACGCGUAUCCAACCUGCCUAUAACUAGGGAAUAACCUUGCGAAAGUAAGACUAAUACCCUAUGAUUUCCUUUGAUGACAUCAGAUUAGGAAUAAAGAUUUAUCGGUUAUAGAUGGGGAUGCGUCUGAUUAGCUUGUUGGCGGGGUAACGGCCCACCAAGGCAACGAUCAGUAGGGGUUCGGAGAGGAGGGUCCACCUCAUUGGAACUGAGACACGGGCCAAACUCCGACGGGAGGCAGCAGUGAGGAAUAUUGGUAAAUGGGCGGAAGCCUGAACCAGCCAAGUAGCGUGCAGGGUGACGGCCCUAUGGGUUGUAAACUGCUUUUAUACAGGAAUAAAGUUAGCCACGUGUGGUUAUUUGUAGGUACUGUAUGAAUAAGGACCGGCUAAUUCCGUGCCAGCCGCCGCCGUAA
RNAcentral lists this ribosomal RNA (506 nucleotides) under uncultured bacterium. RNAcentral's name for it is "partial 16S ribosomal RNA". It matches the Rfam family "Bacterial small subunit ribosomal RNA", at positions 28 to 523 of the family's 1533-position model. The record is from RNAcentral.